Molecule: long non-coding RNA, 493 nt
Filed under: Struthio camelus australis
Lineage: Eukaryota; Metazoa; Chordata; Aves; Struthioniformes; Struthionidae
Description: lncRNA (ENSSCUG00000009109.1)
Source: RNAcentral
CCACUUCCCUUCACACUCGUUCAGCCUGAAUUUCACGAGUCUUCUGCGCCACCCUUCCUCAGGGCUCGUCUUGCUCCAGAGAUUUAUAUCAACAACGAGAAGAGUGGAGCCUUUGGGAAGGGGAAAAGCUGGAGAGCACUGAUUACCAUGGAGGGACAAGCUGGACCCGUCGGAGCCUGAGACCCAGCUCCCCCUCUGCUGCUGGCUGCUGUGAGACCUUAUUUUGGCAGGGGAUACUGCAGAUGACUGCCUAGUGGUUAUGGCCUUUGCUUGAGACAUGGAGGAUCAUUUUGUUUCCAGACCAGAACUGGGAAGGCCAGAGCUCCCAAAUGCUCAGUGAUUGACUGGUCUGGAAACAGGUACUCAGUGAGUUGGUUUUUCUUCUCUUCUUCACUCUGAUGUGAAAUUGAAGGGGGAGGAAUUUAUAUAAAACAAUUAAAAGCUGUUGGCAUUUUUGGGAAAUAUGGCUGCCCUUUAAGGGUUGUAAGUUCUG